This 475-nucleotide ribosomal RNA is filed under the name uncultured bacterium. RNAcentral describes it as "bacterial SSU rRNA". It matches the Rfam family "Bacterial small subunit ribosomal RNA", at positions 37 to 507 of the family's 1533-position model. The record is from RNAcentral.
UGGCGGCAAGCCUUACACAUGCAAGUCGAGCGGUAGCAGAUCUAGCUUGCUAGAUGCUGACGAGCGGCGGACGGGUGAGUAACGCGUAGGAACCUGCCCAGUAGUGGGGGAUAGCCCGGGGAAACUCGGAUUAAUACCGCAUACGCUCUACGGAGGAAAGAGGGGGCUUCGGCUCUCGCUAUUGGAUGGGCCUGCGUGAGAUUAGCUAGUUGGUGAGGUAAUGGCUCACCAGGGCGACGAUCUCUAGCUGGUCUGAGAGGAUGAUCAGCCACACUGGGACUGAGACACGGCCCAGACUCCUACGGGAGGCGGCAGUGGGGAAUAUUGCACAAUGGGCGCAAGCCUGAUGCAGCCAUGCCGCGUGUGUGAAGAAGGCUUUCGGGUUGUAAAGCACUUUCAGUGGGGAGGAAGGCCUCGUAGUUAAUAGCUGCGAGGAUUGACGUUACCCACAGAAGAAGCACCGGCUAACUCCGUG